Molecule: ribosomal RNA, 497 nt
Filed under: uncultured bacterium
Lineage: Bacteria
Description: partial 16S ribosomal RNA
Rfam family: Bacterial small subunit ribosomal RNA
Source: RNAcentral
GACGAACGCUGGCGGCGUGCCUAAUACAUGCAAGUUGAGCGAUGAAGAUUGGUGCUUGCACCAAUUUGAAGAGCAGCGAACGGGUGAGUAACGCGUGGGGAAUCUGCCUUUGAGCGGGGGACAACAUUUGGAAACGAAUGCUAAUACCGCAUAACAACUUUAAACAUAAGUUUUAAGUUUGAAAGAUGCAAUUGCAUCACUCAAAGAUGAUCCCGCGUUGUAUUAGCUAGUUGGUGAGGUAAAGGCUCACCAAGGCGUUGAUACAUAGCCGACCUGAGAGGGUGAUCGGCCACAUUGGGACUGAGACACGGCCCAAACUCCUACGGGAGGCAGCAGUAGGGAAUCUUCGGCAAUGGACGAAAGUCUGACCGAGCAACGCCGCGUGAGUGAAGAAGGUUUUCGGAUCGUAAAACUCUGUUGGUAGAGAAGAACGUUGGUGAGAGUGGAAAGCUCAUCAAGUGACGGUAACUACCCAGAAAGGGACGGCUAACUACGUG